RNAcentral lists this ribosomal RNA (497 nucleotides) under uncultured bacterium. Its description in RNAcentral is "partial 16S ribosomal RNA". It matches the Rfam family "Bacterial small subunit ribosomal RNA", at positions 28 to 507 of the family's 1533-position model. The record is from RNAcentral.
GAUGAACGCUGGCGGCGUGCCUAAUACAUGCAAGUCGAGCGGACAGACGAGGAGCUUGCUCCUCUGACGUUAGCGGCGGACGGGUGAGUAACACGUGGAUAACCUACCUAUAAGACUGGGAUAACUUCGGGAAACCGGAGCUAAUACCGGAUAAUAUAUUGAACCGCAUGGUUCAAUAGUGAAAGACGGUUUUGCUGUCACUUAUAGAUGGAUCCGCGCCGCAUUAGCUAGUUGGUAAGGUAACGGCUUACCAAGGCAACGAUGUGUAGCCGACCUGAGAGGGUGAUCGGCCACACUGGAACUGAGACACGGUCCAGACUCCUACGGGAGGCAGCAGUAGGGAAUCUUCCGCAAUGGGCGAAAGCUUGACGGAGCAACGCCGCGUGAGUGAUGAAGGUCUUCGGAUCGUAAAACUCUGUUAUUAGGGAAGAACAAAUGUGUAAGUAACUAUGCACGUCUUGACGGUACCUAAUCAGAAAGCCACGGCUAACUACGUG